Molecule: ribosomal RNA, 758 nt
Filed under: uncultured fungus
Lineage: Eukaryota; Fungi
Description: SSU rRNA
Rfam family: Eukaryotic small subunit ribosomal RNA
Source: RNAcentral
UUAGCAUGGAAUAAUGGAAUAGGACGUAUGGUUCUAUUUUGUUGGUUUCUAGGACCAUCGUAAUGAUUAAUAGGGACGGUCGGGGGCAUCAGUAUUCAGUUGUCAGAGGUGAAAUUCUUGGAUUAACUGAAGACUAACUACUGCGAAAGCAUUUGCCAAGGACGUUUUCAUUAAUCAAGAACGAAAGUUAGGGGAUCGAAGAUGAUCAGAUACCGUCGUAGUCUUAACCAUAAACUAUGCCGACUAGGGAUCGGGUGGCGCUAUUUUGCCCACUCGGCACCUUACGAGAAAUCAAAGUUUUUGGGUUCUGGGGGGAGUAUGGUCGCAAGGCUGAAACUUAAAGGAAUUGACGGAAGGGCACCACCAGGAGUGGAGCCUGCGGCUUAAUUUGACUCAACACGGGGAAACUCACCAGGUCCAGACGUAAUAAGGAUUGACAAGUUAGAGACUUCUCUUGAUCUUACGGGUGGUGGUGCAUGGCCGUUUUUAGUCCUUGGAGUGAUUUGUCUGCUUAAUUGCGAUAACGGACGAGACCUUAACCUGCUAAAUAGGGCUGCGAGCAUCUGCUCGUGGGCUCUUCUUAGAGGGACUAUGGGUAUCAAACCCAUGGAAGUUUGAGGCAACAACAGGUCUGUGAUGCCCUUAGACGUUCUGGGCCGCACGCGCGCUACACUGACGGAGCCAGCAAGUAUAUCCUUGGUCGAGAGGCCCGGGUAAUCUCGUGAAACUCCGUCGUGCUGGGGAUAGAGCAUUGCAAU